UACGGAGGGUGCAAGCGUUGUUCGGAAUCAUUGGGCGUAAAGCGCGUGUAGGCGGCUUGGCAAGUCGGUUGUGAAAGCCCGGGGCCCAACCCCGGAACUGCAUCUGAAACUGCCUGGCUAGAGUCCCGGAGAGGAAGGCAGAAUUCCCGGUGUAGGGGUGAAAUCCGUAGAUAUCGGGAGGAAUACCAGCGGCGAAGGCGGCCUUCUGGACGGUGACUGACGCUGAGACGCGGAAGCGUGGGGAGCAAACAGG
Molecule: ribosomal RNA, 253 nt
Filed under: uncultured bacterium
Lineage: Bacteria
Description: partial 16S ribosomal RNA
Rfam family: Bacterial small subunit ribosomal RNA
Source: RNAcentral